This 465-nucleotide ribosomal RNA is filed under the name uncultured Klebsiella sp. RNAcentral's name for it is "bacterial SSU rRNA". It matches the Rfam family "Bacterial small subunit ribosomal RNA", at positions 338 to 795 of the family's 1533-position model. Lineage: Bacteria; Pseudomonadati; Pseudomonadota; Gammaproteobacteria; Enterobacterales; Enterobacteriaceae. The record is from RNAcentral.
CCUACGGGCGGCUGCAGUGGGGAAUAUUGCACAAUGGGCGCAAGCCUGAUGCAGCCAUGCCGCGUGUGUGAAGAAGGCCUUCGGGUUGUAAAGCACUUUCAGCGGGGAGGAAGGCGUUAAGGGUAAUAACCUUGGCGAUUGACGUUACCCGCAGAAGAAGCACCGGCUAACUCCGUGCCAGCAGCCGCGGUAAUACGGAGGGUGCAAGCGUUAAUCGGAAUUACUGGGCGUAAAGCGCACGCAGGCGGUCUGUCAAGUCGGAUGUGAAAUCCCCGGGCUCAACCUGGGAACUGCAUUCGAAACUGGCAGGCUAGAGUCUUGUAGAGGGGGGUAGAAUUCCAGGUGUAGCGGUGAAAUGCGUAGAGAUCUGGAGGAAUACCGGUGGCGAAGGCGGCCCCCUGGACAAAGACUGACGCUCAGGUGCGAAAGCGUGGGGAGCAAACAGGGUUAGAUACCCGGGUAGUC